GGUCCCAUGGUGCAGCGGUCAGCACAUCUGGCACAUAUGAGGAGAGGCUGCUGGUUUGUACCGGCAACCUGCGAGUUCAGGCUCACUCCGUUUAUUGCACUUCCCCUCGCUGGGACUGUGGUCAGAGGACCUGCGUUCGAGUCGCAGUGGGGUCG
RNAcentral lists this transfer RNA (155 nucleotides) under Fulvia fulva CBS 131901. RNAcentral's name for it is "tRNA-Und (NNN) (tRNA-Und-NNN-2-1)". Lineage: Eukaryota; Fungi; Ascomycota; Dothideomycetes; Mycosphaerellales; Mycosphaerellaceae. The record is from RNAcentral.